AUUGAACGCUGGCGGCAGGCCUAACACAUGCAAGUCGAGCGGAUGAAGGGAGCUUGCUCCUGGAUUCAGCGGCGGACGGGUGAGUAAUGCCUAGGAAUCUGCCUGGUAGUGGGGGAUAACGUCCGGAAACGGGCGCUAAUACCGCAUACGUCCUGCGGGAGAAAGUGGGGGAGCUUCGGACCUCAUGCUAUCAGAUGAGCCUAGGUCGGAUUAGCUAGUUGGUGGGGUAAAGGCCUACCAAGGCGACGAUCGGUAACUGGUCUGAGAGGAUGAUCAGUCGCACUGGAACUGAGACACGGUCCAGACUCCUACGGGAGGCAGCAGUGGGGAAUAUUGGACAAUAGGCGAAAGCCUGAUCCAGCCAUGCCGCGUGUGUGAAGAAGGUCUUCGGAUUGUAAAGCACUUUAAGUUGGGAGGAAGGGCAGUAAGUUAAUACCUUGCUGUUUUGACGUUACCAACAGAAUAAGCACCGGCUAACUUCGUG
Molecule: ribosomal RNA, 484 nt
Filed under: uncultured bacterium
Lineage: Bacteria
Description: partial 16S ribosomal RNA
Rfam family: Bacterial small subunit ribosomal RNA
Source: RNAcentral